UUGCACGCUGGCGGCAUGCUUUACACAUGCCAGUCGAACGGCAGCGCGGGCUUCGGCCUGGCGGCGAGUGGCGAACGGGUGAGUAAUGCAUCGGAACGUGCCCAGUAGUGGGGGAUAGCCCGGCGAAAGCCGGAUUAAUACCGCAUACGACCUGAGGGUGAAAGCGGGGGACCGAAAGGCCUCGCGCUAUUGGAGCGGCCGAUGUCGGAUUAGCUAGUUGGUGGGGUAAAGGCUUACCAAGGCGACGAUCCGUAGCUGGUCUGAGAGGACGACCAGCCACACUGGGACUGAGACACGGCCCAGACUCCUACGGGAGGCAGCAGUGGGGAAUUUUGGACAAUGGGGGCAACCCUGAUCCAGCCAUGCCGCGUGCGGGAAGAAGGCCUUCGGGUUGUAAACCGCUUUUGUUCGGGAAGAAAUCCUCUGGGCUAAUACCCCGGGGGGAUGACGGUACCGGAAGAAUAAGCACCGGCUAACUACGU
Molecule: ribosomal RNA, 482 nt
Filed under: uncultured bacterium
Lineage: Bacteria
Description: partial 16S ribosomal RNA
Rfam family: Bacterial small subunit ribosomal RNA
Source: RNAcentral